Long non-coding RNA from Archocentrus centrarchus (flier cichlid), 410 nucleotides. RefSeq lists it as uncharacterized. NCBI's taxonomy places the organism in Eukaryota, Metazoa, Chordata, Actinopteri, Cichliformes, Cichlidae. The record is from RefSeq and is a predicted model, not a curated record. The transcript has 4 exons.
GGAAAAGUGGGUUUGUCCGAAGCGAAAGCUCGUUCCAGCUACCAGAAACACCUGUAAGGAUUAACGAGGAGUGAAGAGAGGUAGGGCCCGUCCUUAAUGCCACCACUACAGAAAUGCUAAUGUGGUGGAGGAAAAAAGUGUGAUAUCAAAGGAGGCUUUGCACACCAGUCUAUGCCUUAAGGCUAAAGCUCAUGGUCCCCCGGCUCUGGUUCCAAUACAAUGAGGUGACUUUAAAUAGGACACUGUUCCUCCAAAAACUGAUGCGAGAAUCUGCAGCCAUGUUAGGAUCAACCAUAGUCUGUGGGAUCAACAGGCUCAGUCUGUUUUUGGGGGCCUUUUUGCAGCUUUAUUCAGUAGAUUACAGUGGAGAGAGAAAGGGGGGAAGACACGCAGUAAAUGGCCACGAACCC